Molecule: small RNA, 57 nt
Filed under: Euglena gracilis
Lineage: Eukaryota; Euglenozoa; Euglenophyceae; Euglenales; Euglenaceae
Description: Eg-m-Orphan15 box C/D-like small RNA
Source: RNAcentral
UGAUGGCACGCCCAAACGUGAGCAGUGAAAUUUCUUGAAUGAAGGCUCACUGGCUGA